CGUCUCCCACCCCUCCCACGUCUCCCACGUCUCCCACCCCUCCCACCCCUCCCACCUCUCCCCCCACCCCCACCCCUCCCACCUCUCCCCCCACCCCCACUCCUCCCACCUCUCCCCCCUCCCUCACCCCUCCCACGUCUCCCACCCCUCCCACCUCUCCCACGUCUCCCACCCCUCCCACCUCUCCCACGUCUCCCAGGUCUCCCACGUCUCCCACCCCUCCCACGUCUCCCACGUGUCCCACCUCUCCCACCUCUCUCACGUCUCCCACCCCUCCCACCUCUCCCACGUCUCCCACGUGUCCCACGUCCCACCUCUCCCACGUCUCCCACGUCUCUCACGUCUCCCACGUCUCCCACCACUCCCACCACUCCCACCUCUCCCACGUCUCCCACCCCUCCACGUCUCCCACGUCUCCCACCCCUCCCACCUCUCCCACGUCUCCCACCUCUCCCACGUCUCCCACCCCUCCCACGUCUCCCACGUCUCCCACGUGUCCCACCCCUCCACGUCUCUCACGUCUCCCACCCCUCCACGUCUCCCACGUCUCCCACGUCUCCCACGUCUCCCACCUCUCCCACGUGUCCCACCUCUCCCACCUCUCCCACUUCUCCCACGUCUCCCACCCCUCCAUGUCUCCCACGUCUCCCGUCUCCCACGUCUCCCACGUCUCCCACGUCUCCCACCUCUCCCACCUCUCCCAUGUCUCCCACCCCUCCCACGUCUCCCACCCCUCCCACGUCUCCCACGUCUCCCACGUCUCCCACGUCUCCCACGUCUCCCACGUCUCCCACCUCUCCCACGUCUCCCACGUCUCCCACCUCUCCCACCUCUCCCACGUCUCCCACCUCUCCCACGUCUCUCACGUCUCCCACCCCUCCACGUCUCCCACGUCUCCCACCCCUCCCACGUCUCCCACAUGCCGUUUAGUAACUUAGGAAGAAUGAUUCACUUGGCUUUCUUGACAGUAUAAGGGACUUAAUUUGAAAAGCUUCCUUACCUGUAAAACGGGAUAUUUCACACUACUCCUUAAAAAACUGAAUUCUUGACACAAAACGUUGUUUAGUGAAUACUC
RNAcentral lists this long non-coding RNA (1075 nucleotides) under Canis lupus dingo (dingo). RNAcentral's name for it is "lncRNA (ENSCAFG00020003056.1)". Lineage: Eukaryota; Metazoa; Chordata; Mammalia; Carnivora; Canidae. The record is from RNAcentral.